ACUCAAGAAUUACGAACUGAAUACUUAACAUAAUAUAAAUAUUGAAUUGAAGCGUACGUUUGAAGAGUUUGUUGUUAAUGUCAAAUAAUUGAAGUGUAUCCUCGUGCUUACUGUGUUCGUUUCUAAAGCGUAUAUCAAGUUUUGUAAUUCAUUUUAACAGACGACUCCCACAUUUAAUAAUACUAGAGGUCCCGCAGUAGUCGAAAUUCGACUAUAAUUAAUUGGGAUUUGAUGGACCGGGCGCCGCAGCCGAGUAGUGACGCAGGGGCGCCGCACUGCGGCACACACGGGCGACCCGACGCACCACAACGACUCUACCGACAUAUUUACAGCAUACGACACGAUAUUUGAACGUCUCAUUAUAUAAGUUUAUUUUAUUAAACUAAACCAUAUCAGUUUAUAAGGAAAUACAACUUAAAAUAUGUAAAUUUGCUUGUUAUUUGAUGUUUUGCGUUGUCAAUUAAAAUAACUAGUUUGUUUCUGUGAAAUAACUAAAACAUUGAUGACAUUUAAAAUUUUACUUCUAGAAAAUUAGCGUCUUAAUGUGAAAAAAAAAUCAGUAUCAACAAACCUCAAAUAACGGUAAUUUUAGAAUUUUAUUUAAGAUCAAUAAAUAGUAUAUGAUAAUUAAUUAUUUAAAUAAUUAGAAGAUCAGUACUUUUGCAACAUAAUUGUUAACUUAUCCCUAGAAACAGUAUCAUAAGAUAACAAUAUAUUUCUUUUUAUAUUAUACAAUAUCCAUCUUAUCAUAUAUAAUAUGAAGUGGCCGCCUCAUAUUAUAUACCCACCCAGACGAAGGGGCAACGCAAAGCCUCCGACGCCCUAAGCACAUCCUAUCCAGCCCUCCACUCUCGGUACUUAUAGACACUACAAGCGCUAGUUACUGUUCUCGUCGAACUCCUCAACUGCGGCGAAGAGUUCUAAGUGCAAUAUAGCCAAUAGACCAUCAAGAGAUGCCAAAUCUUUAGGACAUUAUGCGGACAUAUGCUACGUUGCAAAACAAAUAAAUGGAGUAUCCUUAUGGUAUCCAAGAACAGACAUCUGAAGACAGGGGUGUCUGAAAACAAAAGGGAGUGAUGAUACCCGUCUAACCCUAGGAUCAUCUGGACCAGAGUUGCAGAAGACCUAGUUCAAUGGGGAGGGCUGGAGGAGACCUAUGCCAAGGGGCACACCGAGUUGCGUGAUAUAUCAUAAGAAAUAAAUAUAUAAAAUCAAAUACGUUAAAUUGCAUGUAGUUCGGAAUAAAAGGGCUUUGUUAUUAUAA
Long non-coding RNA from Bombyx mori (domestic silkworm), 1264 nucleotides. RefSeq lists it as uncharacterized. The transcript is spliced from 3 exons. The record is from RefSeq and is a predicted model, not a curated record. NCBI's taxonomy places the organism in Eukaryota, Metazoa, Arthropoda, Insecta, Lepidoptera, Bombycidae.